RNAcentral lists this ribosomal RNA (1472 nucleotides) under metagenome. Its description in RNAcentral is "bacterial SSU rRNA". It matches the Rfam family "Bacterial small subunit ribosomal RNA". The record is from RNAcentral.
AGAGUUUGAUAAUGGCUCAGGAUGAACGCUAGCGGCAGGCUUAACACAUGCAAGUCGAGGGGUAUAGGUUUUCGGACCUAGAGACCGGCACACGGGUGCGUAACGCGUAUGCAAUCUACCUUUUACAGAGGGAUAGCCCAGAGAAAUUUGGAUUAAUACCUCAUAGUAUAGCUGAACCGCAUGGUUCUACUAUUAAAGUCACAACGGUAAAAGAUGAGCAUGCGUCCCAUUAGCUAGUUGGUAAGGUAACGGCUUACCAAGGCUACGAUGGGUAGGGGUCCUGAGAGGGAGAUCCCCCACACUGGUACUGAGACACGGACCAGACUCCUACGGGAGGCAGCAGUGAGGAAUAUUGGUCAAUGGACGCAAGUCUGAACCAGCCAUGCCGCGUGCAGGAUGACGGUCCUAUGGAUUGUAAACUGCUUUUGCACAGGAAGAAACAACUCUACGUGUAGAGUCUUGACGGUACUGUGAGAAUAAGGAUCGGCUAACUCCGUGCCAGCAGCCGCGGUAAUACGGAGGAUCCAAGCGUUAUCCGGAAUCAUUGGGUCUAAAGGGUCCGUAGGCGGUUUAGUAAGUCAGUGGUGAAAGCCCAUCGCUCAACGGUGGAACGGCCAUUGAUACUGCUAGACUUGAAUUAUUAGGAAGUAACUAGAAUAUGUAGUGUAGCGGUGAAAUGCUUAGAGAUUACAUGGAAUACCAAUUGCGAAGGCAGGUUACUACUAAUGGAUUGACGCUGAUGGACGAAAGCGUGGGUAGCGAACAGGACUAGAUACCCUGGUAGUCCACGCCGUAAACGAUGGAUACUAGCUGUUGGAAGCAAUUUCAGUGGCUAAGCGAAAGUGAUAAGUAUCCCACCAGGGGAGUACGUUCGCAAGAAUGAAACUCAAAGGAAUUGACGGGGGCCCGCACAAGCGGUGGAGCAUGUGGUUUAAUUCGAUGAUACGCGAGGAACCUUACCAAGGCUUAAAUGUAGAUUGACCGGUUUGGAAACAGACUUUUCGCAAGACAAUUUACAAGGUGCUGCAUGGUUGUCGUCAGCUCGUGCCGUGAGGUGUCAGGUUAAGUCCUAUAACGAGCGCAACCCCUGUUGUUAGUUGCCAGCGAGUCAUGUCGGGAACUCUAACAAGACUGCCAGUGUAAACUGUGAGGAAGGUGGGGAUGACGUCAAAUCAUCACGGCCCUUACGCCUUGGGCUACACACGUGCUACAAUGGCCGGUACAGAGAGCAGCCACUGGGCGACCAGGAGCGAAUCUACAAAACCGGUCACAGUUCGGAUCGGAGUCUGCAACUCGACUCCGUGAAGCUGGAAUCGCUAGUAAUCGGAUAUCAGCCAUGAUCCGGUGAAUACGUUACCGGGCCUUGUACACACCGCCCGUCAAGCCAUGGAAGCUGGGGGUGCCUGAAGUCGGUGACCGCAAGGAGCUGCCUAGGGUAAAACUGGUAACUAGGGCUAAGUCGUAACAAGGUA